GAAUCCUACCAGAGAGAGGAAGAUGGGAGGGAGAGAGAGAGGAGGAAGAUGGGAGGAGGGAGAAAGAGAGAGGGAGAGGAGAGGGAGGUCUGGCGGCGGACAGGAAAGGGUGACCAGCCAGCGUUGGCCUGUGCCCCUCCUCUCGUAGGAACCCUAGCAGAGAGAGAAGAUGAGAGGGAGAGAGAGAAGGAAGGAGAGAAGGGAGAAAGAGAGAGGAAAAAGGAGAGGGAGGUGCGACGGCUGACGGGAGAGAGGAUCACCGACCGGCGUCGGCCUGCGCCGGCCAGGAUGGGCGCGACCUGGAGGUUGGCGGCGGCUCGAUCCGCUCCUGGAUCGGGAACUGCGACGGGGCUGGGUCUCGGGCGCGAUUCACGGGAGGCUGCACUCCGCCUCUUCCUCGUGGUGCGGCGGACAGCGGCUCUUGCGGCCGUGCGGCCGACGGCGGCCUCAGCGGGUGGGCGAUGAGACCUACAGCUGGUGUUCUACCCAUGGAUUCCCGUACAGCCCGAGGCGCUCUGGACAAAUUAGGCCUGAGCCAAUGGGGGAGAAGACGGAGUAUAUGGAUGAGCAGCUGGAGCACACGUUCAUUUGAUGUUUGCGCGCAAGAUGGAGAAGUUCGCUAGAAGGAAGAAGAGUUGGGCGGCGAGGAGGAGAAGAAGGCGGUCUGCGAGCUGCUUGCACGCGCAGCAGCAGGAGUCCACCAGUGAGGUGCUCCUCUGGAUACUCCCUUCCGGCGCCGGGCUUACGUGUUCAACACCGCCCUCACUGUCCCCUUCUUCCAUUGGCUCAUCGGUCGGUCAGAGGUUAUCGAGGUGGAGGUCAACGGGGUGAGACAGAGAAGUGGAGUGCUCAUAAAGAAACGCAGGUAUGUAUGAAUAUGAUGGAUGCUUCCAUUGCCAACUGAUGAAUGCAUGUCUCCUUUCGCGCAGCUGCUGCCUGGAUUCGCCAUCGUGGCCGCCGCCUCCAGUCGCUUCCACCUGGACAUCCUUCGCCAACAAGGUAAUUUCGUUCCGGUCCCAGCUGUCCUCCUAUCCUCCGCGCUUGAUUGCUAUGAGUUCUUGUUGUGUGUGUGCAAGGCUUAGUGAUGUGUGUGUCCGGGAACCCAUUGUGUUCUUUUUUAUGGAUUGUUGCUGCGUGCAUGAUUGUUGUGGCUGGCUUGGUGGUAGCAUCAUACAUACUGUUCUGGUUGGUUAGCUUAACGCUCUAAAGCUAGGCUUUUAAUUCUCUGGGUGUAAGUAAUGUAUUGCUAUACCAGAUAAAAUAUACACAUGCAUGGCAAACAUGAUUCUGCUUAUACGCGGAAGUAUAUUUUUCAAAUCUAUCUCUUCAAUUCUUAGGACCAUUCUUUACUGAAAGUCUAGAACUAUGUAAUUUGGUAAUCGUGUCAAAGUUCGCCUGGUUGUGCCGUAUUACAUUGUGAUUUGUGAAUGCUAUGUCGUUGGGGAAUCAGCGAGCUUGGUUAUAUUUCUGGGGCCGUCAUGUUAACUGGUGCUGGUAGCGCUCGCUUGCUAGCUAUGAGUUCUUGUUCUGUGUUUGCUUACUGGCUUAGUUAUGUGUGUUUGUCCGGGCACCUAUUGUGGUUUGUUUUUUGCUAGCUUGCUGCUGCGUGCAUGAUUGUUGUAACCGGGUGCUGGUUGUUUGGUGCUGGGCUGCUGAGGGCAUGAGACCCGCUUCAAAAAAAGGAAUGAAAGGAAGCAUUUGUUCAUAGAACAAAUAUAUUGUAAAAAUUUCCAUGGAAAGCCUGCAUAUUUAGCUCGGAAAAGGGGUCUAAGGAGGCUUAGAUUCUUGUUAUGUAUUGAUUUUGUAAAAUAUCUGCAGCUAUAUAUUGCUCAAUCAAAGAAAGAUUUUACUCAACCUUCAGUGUAAUGUAUUUCUAAUUGUUCAGAACUACUUCAAGUUUUGUUGUGAUUUUGCAAGAUUAUGAAAUUAUUGUAUUUCGAAAUUGUUAUACUAAUUCCUCGAUGCUCUGUUCAUGGCUUUGUUCUUAUUUUAUCCUUAGUUAUUUGAUUUUUCCUUUCCUACAAGAAGAUGCUGAGUCAUGUAAUAUGUUCAAAGAAGAGAGAAUCUGCAUUUUAUGAAUGCUUUCUUCUUUCUUCAUUGUUACUUCAAGUUAGCGAAUCCAGUUAAGUUGUACUGAGAAGAUUCAUACGCAUGCUUUCUCCAUCUACACAUCUUAUUCAGUCACGAGGCCAUUAAGAUCUUUUGCCUUUUAGAAAAAGGGAGAUGCCAUUUAGACCUUACUCUGUUCAACUUGAUCUUUAACUUGCUACUACUGUUUCUAAGCAUUUUCCCAAGCAUUGUUUUAUUUGCAUCAGAGAAUGAGCUCACCUUAUUCAGUGGAUGUGACAAGUAAAAAAUUAGAAACUGAGCAAUUAGUUCCACUCUUAAAUUUUGUACAGCAGUCCAAAUUAUCCAAUAAAUCAUUUGUUAGCAGGGUCUAAUUAUAGAAGUGGAAUCAGUUGUUCCAAAUUACCCAGUCCAAAUUAUGGAUGUUAAAAAUCUGUUUUGUGUUAGUCAAAUUGUUGAAAGCCGGAGCUGGGUCGAGGAGCCGGCCUCCGCCUUCGCCAUUGCCUGAGAGAAGCAACACCAGCAUUGGGCGUUCCAUGUGGAGAGUGCGUGAAUGAUGAGGUAUGGCAUGGAAUGGUUGGGUUUUGAGUGGUAGGUGAUCCCUAUGCCGGCGGUGAUAGCGGCCAUCAUUGGUACAUUUCAGUAAUAUGUAAGUCCAUUUCAGGCCCUGUUUGUUUGGGCUUUUACUUCUGCUUUUGCAGCUUUUCUAUUUUAGCCAAAAAGCCAUAAAAGCUAGGUGCUUUUAGAGCUUUUAUGGCUUUUGGAGCUGAAUAUUGUUAUAUUGAUUCAUCAAAAGCCAAAAAAGCUCCAAAAGCACCUAUUUAGGAGCUUUUAUGGCUUUUUGGCCAAAGUGGAAAAGCUGCAAAAGCAGAAGCAAAAGCCCAAACAAACAGGGCCUCAGUAAUAUGUCUUGUUUUACUUCCUCCGCGGUGACUCUGGAUGUAUUCUCGGCUUUACAGUCAGUAAAAAGAAGGCAUGCAAAACAUUAUAUUUUUGCCUUGGUUGAAUGUCUCAUUUAAUUGUCGCUUAUUUAUUUCAAGUUACUGAAUUCGCAUCGAACUUUCCUUGUGCUUUCCAUUAAUAAAUAAGAAAUUAAUACGCAAUGUUUUUAAUAUGUGAGGAGGCGAGAGAAGAAGAAAAGAGGGGUUGUCAGGUCGGACCUUGGUACGUCUCUGACCAGAGAUGGUUGGAUCCGUCCGACGCUCUUCCAAACAGUGCAUUCUAGAUUCAAUGGGUAGUACAUGGAGCUUAUUUACUUUGCCGCUCUUAUGGCUUUAUCUGUACUUGACAUAUCAAGAGCUGGUGGGGGGUGUACUCUCUCCCUCAAGAAGCACGACCCUCUUGAUCCAACUAGGAACAUCAAAACUAAAAUGGGAUAUCAUUGACUGGACUUCAGAUGGCCAUGCUGUGAGUUCACCAUUACUAAAUAGUAUCUGAAUCUUCUUUGUAUAAUUAAGACACACUUUCUACAUAGAGCUGCUAUAGUGAUACCAUGUGAUCACUUAACAUGAGUGCGACUAGCCUAUUUUCUCUAUUUAAAAGUAGAGUUGUGUUUAUCAUAAAAUUUAUAUACCAUGGACUUGUUGCUUUCUGUUUAUAUAAUAGGGAAGUUCGUCUUCUAUCAUCUGUUUUCUUCAUUACAUGUCUCUUAGAUUGUUGGAGAGGCCUUUACGAAUAAGUUGAUUAACUACAUUUAUGUGUUAAUAUAUUUGCCUGAUGGGUUUCCCUAUUAUGGCUCAUGGUCAUAGAUGUAGUUUGCCUUUGCUAUUGUUGUUUCUCCAAAUAGUAUCUACAUCCCACUAUAUUGUAUGUGUUGUGAAUGUACGGCUGUUAAAUCUGUUUGUUUGCUUCUGCUGGUAUGUUAUGUGAUCAUUGUAACAAUCAGAUGCAUGGAAAUUUGGAGCAGUUAAUCCCAAUAGCGAGACAUGAGUUAUGCUCAAGGUAAUUGACCUUUGCAUAAUAAGAUAUAUGGAGCUCUUUUGAAUGCAGCAUUUUAGCUGAAUUGAUGGAAAUGUCAGUAUUCUACUUUCGUUCACAGAUUUCAAGAGAUUUUCCAUGCAAAAAAAUAAUGUAUCAAGGCCAGUUUUGUCGUGUAUUUCUUGGUGAAUGUGUAGCAAGCUCUUCGUGUGCUCAUUUUCUCCUCUGCUAAAAAGAAUUUUCCCAAUGAAAGAAGUACACGCUUAAUGAUUUGUGUUAUGUGUUAAUGAUAGGGAGUAUCAACAAGAACUUAAUGCAGGAUGCAGCCAGAUUGGGUCCAUUCCCGAUGGGGUGGAACUGGAGCUUCCAAGGGAUGGUUCUGAUCCAGUUCCAUUAAGGGUGUAUUUUUUUUGGAGCUUGGCCUGGUGUGGUUUUGUCCAUGCCUAUGAACAGGCUGCCCUCCAUGCCAUAAGAUUUUUAUAGGGCUUAUAUGGGUUUGUAGUUCGAGAUUAUAAUUAUGACUGUAUGAUGGUCUAUAGGAGCUUCCUUCGUUUUUCCAUGACAGUUUCAGUUUCAGCCGUCCGGUCCGUUGGGUGCCUGCAGAGGGAGGGUGCCUGUAGAGGGGAUUGUUCUCUGUGAACGUGGAAAUUAAUCCAGAUAUUGUCUCUACUGUCCCAUUUCGAUUGGGCUCUGUUGUACUCACAUUUACUAUUAAACAU
Molecule: long non-coding RNA, 4703 nt
Organism: Triticum dicoccoides
Lineage: Eukaryota; Viridiplantae; Streptophyta; Magnoliopsida; Poales; Poaceae
Exons: 6
Source: RefSeq, a predicted model, not a curated record